CCCUUAGACGUUCUGGGCCGCACGCGCGCUACACUGACGAAGGCAACGAGCUUUCCUUUACCGAAAGGUACGGGUAAUCUUUUGAAACUUCGUCGUGCUGGGGAUAGAUCCUUGCAAUUUUUGAUCUUAAACGAGGAAUGCCAGUAAGCGCAAGUCAUCAACUUGCGUUGAUUACGUCCCUGCCCUUUGUACACACCGCCCGUCGCUACUACCGAUUGAAUGGUUUAGUGAGGCCUUCGGAUCCGCGACUCGUUUUGUGGAGAAGUUGGACAAACUCAGUCAUUUAGAGGAAGUAAAAGUCGUAACA
RNAcentral lists this ribosomal RNA (307 nucleotides) under uncultured eukaryote. RNAcentral describes it as "partial 18S ribosomal RNA". It matches the Rfam family "Eukaryotic small subunit ribosomal RNA", at positions 1470 to 1796 of the family's 1831-position model. The record is from RNAcentral.